This 545-nucleotide ribosomal RNA is filed under the name Agrilus graminis. RNAcentral's name for it is "partial 16S ribosomal RNA". The stretch from base 302 to 460 matches the Rfam family "Bacterial large subunit ribosomal RNA", at positions 2473 to 2632 of the family's 2925-position model. The record is from RNAcentral. Lineage: Eukaryota; Metazoa; Arthropoda; Insecta; Coleoptera; Buprestidae.
CAUAAUCAUUAGUUUUUUAAUUGAAAGCUGGUAUGAAUGAUUGGACAAGAAACUUUCUGUCUCAUAUUUAUUUUUUGAAUUUUAUUUUUUAGUUAAAAAGCUUAGAUUUUUUUGUAAGACGAGAAGACCCUAUAGAGUUUAAUAUUUUUAUUUACAUUUAGAUUAUAGAAUUAGAAUUUUUUUGUUUUAUAAAGUAUUUGGUUGGGGUGACAUAAAAAUUUAUUAAACUUUUUAUUAAUUGAAAUAUAGAUUUAUAGAUUAUUGACUUAUAAAAAUAGUUAAAAGAUUAAAUUACCUUAGGGAUAACAGCGUAAUUUUUCUAAAGAGUUCAUAUCGAAAGAAAAGAUUGCGACCUCGAUGUUGGAUUAAAGUUUAAAUUUGGUGUAGAAGCUAAAUGGUUUAGUCUGUUCGACUAUUAAAACUUUACAUGAUCUGAGUUUAAACCGGCGUGAGCCAGGUUGGUUUCUAUCUUCAAUUAGUUAAAAUAUUUUAGUACGAAAGGACCAAAUAUUUUUUAAAUUAAUUUAUUUUUGUUGAAUGAAAUU